Molecule: unclassified non-coding RNA, 256 nt
Filed under: uncultured fungus
Lineage: Eukaryota; Fungi
Description: partial contains 5.8S ribosomal RNA, internal transcribed spacer 2, and large subunit ribosomal RNA
Rfam family: 5.8S ribosomal RNA (bases 1-52)
Source: RNAcentral
AACGCACAUUGCGCCCGCCAGUAUUCUGGCGGGCAUGCCUGUCUGAGCGUCAUUUCAACCCUCGUGCCCCCGGGCGCGGUGUUGGGGAUCGGCCGCCACGGCCGUCCCCCAAAUGCAGUGGCGACCACGCCGCGAACUCCCCUGCGCAGUAACUUUAGCGAGCCUCGCAGGCGGAGGGCGGUGCGGUCCUGCCGUAAAACACCCCAACUUUCUCAAGGUUGACCUCAGAUCAGGUAGGAAUACCCGCUGAACUUAA